AUUUUCACUUUGGCAGCACAUAUAUAUUAAAAUUGGAAUAAUACAGAGAAAAUUAGCAUGGCCCCUGUGUAAGAAUAACAUGCAAAUUCAUGAAGUGCCAUAAUUUUAA
Molecule: small nuclear RNA, 109 nt
Filed under: Salvator merianae (Argentine black and white tegu)
Lineage: Eukaryota; Metazoa; Chordata; Lepidosauria; Squamata; Teiidae
Source: RNAcentral